Molecule: transfer RNA, 68 nt
Filed under: Polymastia littoralis
Lineage: Eukaryota; Metazoa; Porifera; Demospongiae; Polymastiida; Polymastiidae
Description: tRNA-Cys
Rfam family: tRNA
About the family: Transfer RNA (tRNA) molecules are approximately 80 nucleotides in length.
Source: RNAcentral
GGCACUGGUGUUUUGGUCAAAAAAAGUCUGCAAAACUUUUAUAAUAGGUUCGAAUCCUAUCAGUGCUU